UUGAACUGAAGUCGGAAAGGCAUUUGAUGGUACCAUAAAGGUUAUAACUGUUCACUUCUAAUUAUUGAAUCGGAUAUUUUCAUUAUUUGCAUUUUGGAGAACUACUGAGAAUCGCGAAUUUUGAUUUCAGUAUGCUUCUUGUUUUCAACCUGUUUUUUGUAGUCAUUAUUUCCUCAGUCAAUGCUAACCGAGAUGAUAUAUACAUAAAUGCAGUCGACGAUCAUCAUUCACAUGAUCACGAACACACUGUUUGGAAGAUCAACCCGAAGUUCAGCAAAGAUGAUCGAGGUAAUACUUUUCUAGCCCUCGAUUUGAUGAAAGAAUUUGGGGAUAAUGCAGUCAGCCUCCAAAUUAAAAAGGUUCUUUUUGGGCCAGAUAAAGAAGGAAUGAUGAAGAUAUCUGGUGCUUUCGAUUGGAAUAUAUGAGUCCUAUAUGCGAGUCAAUAACUUUUCGAAUUGUAUAAAUUGAUUCAGAAAUAUAAAUUGAUAAUUAAUUGUAUAGAAAAUAAUAUUUAAGAAUUUAUAUUAAAACUAUUGAGCUAUGU
Harmonia axyridis is the source of this 544-nucleotide long non-coding RNA. RefSeq lists it as uncharacterized. The record is from RefSeq and is a predicted model, not a curated record. NCBI's taxonomy places the organism in Eukaryota, Metazoa, Arthropoda, Insecta, Coleoptera, Coccinellidae. The transcript is spliced from 2 exons.